This 305-nucleotide long non-coding RNA is filed under the name Fukomys damarensis (Damara mole-rat). RNAcentral's name for it is "lncRNA (ENSFDAG00000028270.1)". The record is from RNAcentral. Lineage: Eukaryota; Metazoa; Chordata; Mammalia; Rodentia; Bathyergidae.
CUGCGGUGGACACCCAGUCCCUGUCCUGUCUAUGCCUGGAAAGGAGCUGUUGCUGACCUUGUAGAUUUGGCCACCCAGACAUGGGAGCACAUUUUCUAUCCGGGAGGUGAGUACUCCUGUGUUCUGGGGAGCCGGUGCUGACUUUGCUGCUUGGCCACAUUCCCAUUAGUGUUGAUGGUAAUUGCACCCUCAGAACAAAGCCGGCCCCGUGAAGCCCCUGCUGAGGAAUUACCUUAAUGACUUUGAACUUUAAGAAGUAAAAAAAAUGAGACCAAGACCUGUCAUGUAAAGUAAAAGAUCCCAAU